Oreochromis niloticus (Nile tilapia) is the source of this 2472-nucleotide long non-coding RNA. The record is from Ensembl. Lineage: Eukaryota; Metazoa; Chordata; Actinopteri; Cichliformes; Cichlidae.
GCAUUUUGUAAAAAUAACUUUGAGUCCUACUUUAGUUUCCAAACAUUCAAACACUGAAAUGCAUGAAGAAAUAUGUGAACCAUGUGCUUUGUGCAGACUUCAGAGAGUCCAUGGAGCAGUCUCCGCUGAGCUAUGCCAUGUGGCAUCUUCGCAUUGCAGCACUGAUCCUAAUGAUUGUCAUCACUAUUUUAGUCAUCAGAUACAGAGGAAACAAAAAGCUCCUUGAAGAGAGCAACGUUCGUUAUAUUGGUGACUGUGAUGAUGCCACAGUGAUCUAUGAGAAUGUGACAAAGUCUGGCUGACCCUGAACUGCACUGAACUUCAGAGCACAUACUUCAGCUCAACAUUUUCUUAAUCCCUUUGCAACUACUUAGAUUUUCUUUAACUCUUUUGUAUAUUAACAAUAAUGUAAUGUACACCAUCCAACUAAAAAAAUAGACCUGUAACCAGGUUUAGUUUUUUUUCGGUCAAAUCUUACUUUCUACCUACUAAAACUGCAGUAAUGGAGUGAUCCUGAAUGGAGUUAUGCUGCUUCUUGCUUAUAUAACGUUUGAUUCCUGAAGAUAAAUAAAGCUGAAAACUGUGAAUGGAGAAGAAAUGCUCAGUGCAUUAGCAGCCUCAGCCUGUAGCAGCAUAACUAAAGGAUAAUUCAGAGUCAUCUGAACCAUCCCUAUGAGAUUUAUCAAAAAUGAAAAUUAGGAGUCUAAUCCUAAAGCAGCCAUGGCGUCUGACUUCUGAAUCCCAACUGGCAGCACAGGAGAAGAGGCAAAUAGCUGAAAGUGCUGCCUCACAUUCUUCUUUUGGAAACUCUAAAUGCUGAAUCUCAAAAGGUUGAUUCUGCUCACCUGGACGUAGACUUUUCAAUGGGAGAAACGUUUCAUCACUCAUCACUCUCAGCUGACUGCAGGUUUCCCCAACCUUAUAAACAGUGCAUUUGCACAAAUGAACAAUGGGCUGUGAGGUCAAUUCCUUGAUCAUUAAUAUGCAAAUUGUCAUGACCAUUGAUCAACAACCACUGAUCAAAGAUCAUUGACCACUUGGGUGCACCUCUCCAUCACUGAACACACCUUUCUGGCAAGCCUCCAGUUUUCUUUGUCCUCCAGAUGUAUUUUAGCAAUUGAGAUAUCAUUCACAACAGAUACUGAAACUGAUCUCCAUGUCACAGGUAGAACAAGGAGAUGAAGCUGCGCAAAUGAGAAAAAACCCUAAAGAUAAUUGAAUAAUUGAAUAAUUGAAUAAUUGAAUAAUCCAAAAAUGUACCUCCUUCUGAAUCACAUUUCCUUGACCUCCAUGGAGGUUGCUAUCCCACUUUUACCAUCAGCAUGCUCUGCAUUUAGAGGUGGCUUUGUCUAAGUGUGUCCAGUGUAGGAUGGUUUUUUGGUUGAGCCAGUUUAAUAUAAGUUUGCUCUGCUGAUGUUAUCUCAGGAUGUUAGUGCAGGAGAUGAGCCCUCAUUUUUGUAGUAUUCACAGAUUAUUUUUUUUAUUUAUUUAAUAAACUAUCAAAUCUCUGUGUGAAUACAUAAAAUAGCUACAAAAGAUAUUAUAAUACCAUCAACCCCCCCACCCCAAACUCUAGUACUCACAGGAAUGGUCACAUUGUUUUCCAGAUAACUGAUUGGCCAGUAGGUAAUGACAUCAUACUGUAAAGAUUGACCCAACACACUGUGAUGCUGUUCACUUGAGGAGUGUUUAUUGAAACACCACACAUGUGGCUUUAUGUUUCAGUGCACUGUUCACCAACUUUUCAGUUAGUCAUCUGCGAACACUCCUCCCUCUGGCCUCUGGCUUCACUAUAUAAAAAGGGAGAAACCUCGUUAGGCAAAUCAUCGCCGCCUGUCCCUCCAGCCUCCUUGGCACCGCCCACUUGAGCUCAACUGCCCCACUCCUCCCCUGCAGCUUAGCCAGCGGUCACACCUCCACCACACAUACCUGUUGAUUUCAGGCAGUAGAGCCUGUUCUCUAACAAUUACAGAUCUCUAAGAUUAGUAGUUCAAUCCCAGGUUCCAUCAGCUCUUGACUAGGUUUGAUCUCCUAAUUGUCCUGGAUGUAGCCGUGAGUGUGUGUGACUGCUAGAAAAAGUGUUUGAAGGCCUAUUUGAAUUGGUGGAUUGUAGUAAAAAGCAGUAUGAGUGCCAGUCCGAUUAUCAUUACCAAGAAAGAGACACAAAGCUAAUUUUACAGAACAGAGAAAGAUGAGGCAGAGAGCAGGAAGAGUAAAACAUGGACAGUAAAACAGACAAAGACUCAACAGUAUCAUUAGAAAUUACUCUAUUACAAAAAUAACAAAAUCAAAAUGGGAAUUCAAAACUCAAACAAUAAAGAAAUAAAUAAAUGUAGAGCACAAGAACAGCAGUAAAAUCAAAUAAAAAAGUGCCCAAUGCCAGGGACUGCGACCCACAUUCAGAUUAAUACAUACCCUGUCAAACUGUGCAGAUACGUUGGGUGACAAAUAGGACAAUUUUGCAAGUUUUUC